UACGGGGGGGGCAAGCGUUGUUCGGAAUUACUGGGCGUAAAGGGCUCGUAGGUGGCCAACUAAGUCAGACGUGAAAUCCCUCGGCUUAACCGGGGAACUGCGUCUGAUACUGGAUGGCUUGAGAUUGGGAGAGGGAUGCGGAAUUCCAGGUGUAGCGGUGAAAUGCGUAGAUAUCGGGAGGAACACCAGUGGCGAAGGCGGCUUUCUGGCCUGUUCUUGACGCUGAGGCGCGAAAGCCAGGGGAGCGAAUGGG
This 253-nucleotide ribosomal RNA is filed under the name uncultured bacterium. Its description in RNAcentral is "partial 16S ribosomal RNA". It matches the Rfam family "Bacterial small subunit ribosomal RNA", at positions 524 to 776 of the family's 1533-position model. The record is from RNAcentral.